UACCAGCACCCCGAGUGGUCGGGACGAUUAUUGGGCCUAAAGCAUCCGUAGCCGGCCUUACAAGUCCUCCGUUAAAUCCAGCUGCUUAACAGAUGGGCUGCGGAGGAUACUAUAGGGCUAGGAGGCGGGAGAGGCAAGCGGUACUCAGUGGGUAGGGGUAAAAUCCUCUGAUCCAUUGAAGACCACCAGUGGCGAAGGCGGCUUGCCAGAACGCGCUCGACGGUGAGGGAUGAAAGCUGGGGGAGCAAACCGG
This 253-nucleotide ribosomal RNA is filed under the name uncultured bacterium. Its description in RNAcentral is "partial 16S ribosomal RNA". It matches the Rfam family "Archaeal small subunit ribosomal RNA", at positions 474 to 727 of the family's 1478-position model. The record is from RNAcentral.